Molecule: ribosomal RNA, 231 nt
Filed under: Ctenophora environmental sample
Lineage: Eukaryota; Metazoa; Ctenophora
Description: partial Eukaryotic large subunit ribosomal RNA
Rfam family: Eukaryotic large subunit ribosomal RNA
Source: RNAcentral
AUAGGGGCGAAAGACUAAUCGAACUAUCUAGUAGCUGGUUCCCUCCGAAAUUUCCCUUAGGAUAGCUGGGACAAAUAUGCAGUUUUAUUAGGUAAAGCGAAUGAUUAGAGGCAUCAGGGUUGAAACAACCUUGACCUAUUCUCAAACUUUAAAUUGGUAAGAACUCCUGGUUGGCUUAAGUGAACCUGGAGGUGGAAUGCAUGUCCUUAGUGGGCCAUUUUUGGUAAGCAG